GACGAACGCUGGCGGCGUGCUUAACACAUGCAAGUCGAACGAUGAAGUUCCUUCGGGAAUGGAUUAGUGGCGAACGGGUGAGGAACACGUGAGAAACCUGCCUUUCAUUUUGGGAUAACUCCGGGAAACCGGGGCUAAAACCGAAUACUCCGUCUCGGCGGCAUCGCUGAGCCGGGAAAAAAUUUUGAUGAAAAGAUGGUCUCGCGGCCUAUCAGCUAGUUGGUGAGGUAAUGGCUCACCAAGGCAAUGACGGGUAGCCGGGCUGAGAGGGCGACCGGCCACCCUGGGACUGAGACACGGCCCAGACUCCUACGGGAGGCAGCAGUGGGGAAUAUUGGGCAAUGGGCGCAAGCCUGACCCAGCGACGCCGCGUGAGGGAUGAAGGCCUUCGGGUUGUAAACCUCUUUCAGUAGGGAAGAAGCGAAAGUGACGGUACCUAAAGAAGAAGCACCGGCUAACUAUGUGCCAGCCGCCGCCGUAA
RNAcentral lists this ribosomal RNA (481 nucleotides) under uncultured bacterium. RNAcentral describes it as "partial 16S ribosomal RNA". It matches the Rfam family "Bacterial small subunit ribosomal RNA", at positions 28 to 523 of the family's 1533-position model. The record is from RNAcentral.